RNAcentral lists this transfer RNA (73 nucleotides) under Candidatus Margulisiibacteriota bacterium. RNAcentral's name for it is "tRNA-Val". It matches the Rfam family "tRNA". From Rfam's summary of the family: Transfer RNA (tRNA) molecules are approximately 80 nucleotides in length. Their secondary structure includes four short double-helical elements and three loops (D, anti-codon, and T loops). Lineage: Bacteria; Bacillati; Candidatus Margulisiibacteriota. The record is from RNAcentral.
GGGCAGUUAGUUCAGCUGGUUGAAUGCCUCGCUUACACCGAGGAGGUCGUAGGUUCGAGUCCUACACUGCCCA